UGUCAGAAAUACUUUUCUAUAUAAAUGUUAUAUUAAGCACACAUUUUUUAACAGAAUAUGUCUAAAGGAAGACAUUUCUAACACCUAGUAUGCACGUGGAGUGUGAAAUUCAAUAUAUUUUUAUUGCUUGAUUUAAUACAUUAAAUAAUUUUCAAGAUAUGAUCUUGUUCAAUUAUUUGUAAUACACAAUUAUCAAUUGUAAAAUCAUCAAUCUUGUGGAAUAUACAGAUCCACGCAGUAUGUGUUACGGUAUUAACAAAAUUAUUUAAUUUCUUAACAAUUUGAAGAAAUAUGUACAAUAUAUAAUUUUAUACAUA
Formica exsecta is the source of this 317-nucleotide long non-coding RNA. RefSeq lists it as uncharacterized. NCBI's taxonomy places the organism in Eukaryota, Metazoa, Arthropoda, Insecta, Hymenoptera, Formicidae. The record is from RefSeq and is a predicted model, not a curated record. The transcript is spliced from 2 exons.